Molecule: ribosomal RNA, 258 nt
Filed under: uncultured bacterium
Lineage: Bacteria
Description: partial 16S ribosomal RNA
Rfam family: Bacterial small subunit ribosomal RNA
Source: RNAcentral
GUCCACGCCUUAAACGUUGAAUACUCGAUGUGUGCGAUAUACAGUACGCGUCUAAGCGAAAGUGAUAAGUAUUCCACCUGGGGAGUACGCUCGCAAGGGUGAAACUCAAAGGAAUUGACGGGGGCCCGCACAAGCGGAGGAGCAUGUGGUUUAAUUCGAUGAUACGCGAGGAACCUUACCUGGGCUUGAAAGUUAGUGACCGAUUGUGAAAGCAGUCUUUCCGCAAGGACACGAAACUAGGUGCUGCAUGGCUGUCGU